CAAGUCUUUGGUGAUGAAAAGAAAUAUUGGCUACUUCCAAUAUUUUCAAGCUUGGGUGAUGGUUGCAGUUUUCCAACUCGCCUUGUGGGGAUGGAUCCAGAACAAGCUUCUGUUACAAACCAGAAUGAGUAUGCCAGAAGUGGCUCAAAUCAGCCUUUUCCUAUCAAACCACUUAGUGAAUCAAAAAACCGCUUGUUGGACAGUGAAUCUCAGUGGCUGGAGAAUGGAGCUGAAGAAGGCAUCAUCAAAUCAGGUGUAUGAAAACAUUAUAGACUGGUAUUUUCAAUUUUCAUUUGCAAGGAAAUGAUCAGUGGAAUGAAAUAACUGAAGUAUAACAGAAGAUAUAUUUUUUAAAACGGAAAGCCUUUGUACAGUUCCUGGGAUUUCACAGAAGCACUACUCCAGAGCAGAACGAUGCCUUAAUCUUAAGUGUCCAUUUGUGCAGCAUUGACUUAGAGCUACAAAAGUGACUUAAUGUUAUUCUGGAAAUAAUACUUACCUGUUAUGAGAUGCUAUAAUAUGAGCUGUCAUCACAUUUUAACAUGCAUAUGUAUUUUUUGAUA
Molecule: small RNA, 563 nt
Filed under: Pan troglodytes (chimpanzee)
Lineage: Eukaryota; Metazoa; Chordata; Mammalia; Primates; Hominidae
Description: processed transcript
Source: RNAcentral